RNAcentral lists this ribosomal RNA (379 nucleotides) under uncultured bacterium. RNAcentral describes it as "bacterial SSU rRNA". It matches the Rfam family "Bacterial small subunit ribosomal RNA", at positions 422 to 793 of the family's 1533-position model. The record is from RNAcentral.
UCCGUAAAGCUCUGUUGUUAAAGAAGAACACGUAUGAGAGUAACUGUUCAUACGUUGACGGUAUUUAACCAGAAAGUCACGGCUAACUACGUGCCAGCAGCCGCGGUAAUACGUAGGUGGCAAGCGUUAUCCGGAUUUAUUGGGCGUAAAGAGAGUGCAGGCGGUUUUCUAAGUCUGAUGUGAAAGCCUUCGGCUUAACCGGGGAAGUGCAUCGGAAACUGGAUAACUUGAGUGCAGAAGAGGGUAGUGGAACUCCAUGUGUAGCGGUGGAAUGCGUAGAUAUAUGGAAGAACACCAGUGGCGAAGGCGGCUACCUGGUCUGCAACUGACGCUGAGACUCGAAAGCAUGGGUAGCGAACAGGAUUAGAUACCCUGGUAG